UGCAUGCUCGCCUCCCUCUUGCUGGCAUCCC
Molecule: non-coding RNA, 31 nt
Filed under: Homo sapiens (human)
Lineage: Eukaryota; Metazoa; Chordata; Mammalia; Primates; Hominidae
Source: RNAcentral